UCGAACGCUUCUUUUUCCACCGGAGCUUGCUCCACCGGAAAAAGAGGAGUGGCGAACGGGUGAGUAACACGUGGGUAACCUGCCCAUCAGAAGGGGAUAACACUUGGAAACAGGUGCUAAUACCGUAUAACAAUCAAAACCGCAUGGUUUUGAUUUGAAAGGCGCUUUCGGGUGUCGCUGAUGGAUGGACCCGCGGUGCAUUAGCUAGUUGGUGAGGUAACGGCUCACCAAGGCCACGAUGCAUAGCCGACCUGAGAGGGUGAUCGGCCACAUUGGGACUGAGACACGGCCCAAACUCCUACGGGAGGCAGCAGUAGGGAAUCUUCGGCAAUGGACGAAAGUCUGACCGAGCAACGCCGCGUGAGUGAAGAAGGUUUUCGGAUCGUAAAACUCUGUUGUUAGAGAAGAACAAGGAUGAGAGUAACUGUUCAUCCCUUGACGGUAUCUAACCAGAAAGCCACGGCUAACUACGUGCCAGCAGCCGCGGUAAUACGUAGGUGGCAAGCGUUGUCCGGAUUUAUUGGGCGUAAAGCGAGCGCAGGCGGUUUCUUAAGUCUGAUGUGAAAGCCCCCGGCUCAACCGGGGAGGGUCAUUGGAAACUGGGAGACUUGAGUGCAGAAGAGGAGAGUGGAAUUCCAUGUGUAGCGGUGAAAUGCGUAGAUAUAUGGAGGAACACCAGUGGCGAAGGCGGCUCUCUGGUCUGUAACUGACGCUGAGGCUCGAAAGCGUGGGGAGCAAACAGGAUUAGAUACCCUGGUAGUCCACGCCGUAAACGAUGAGUGCUAAGUGUUGGAGGGUUUCCGCCCUUCAGUGCUGCAGCUAACGCAUUAAGCACUCCGCCUGGGGAGUACGACCGCAAGGUUGAAACUCAAAGGAAUUGACGGGGGCCCGCACAAGCGGUGGAGCAUGUGGUUUAAUUCGAAGCAACGCGAAGAACCUUACCAGGUCUUGACAUCCUUUGACCACUCUAGAGAUAGAGCUUCCCCUUCGGGGGCAAAGUGACAGGUGG
Molecule: ribosomal RNA, 1009 nt
Filed under: Enterococcus faecium
Lineage: Bacteria; Bacillati; Bacillota; Bacilli; Lactobacillales; Enterococcaceae
Description: bacterial SSU rRNA
Rfam family: Bacterial small subunit ribosomal RNA
Source: RNAcentral